UUUGUUUAAGAACAAAGCACUUACAUUUUGAUGAUAAAAAAAUAAAAAAUGUAUGAGAACACUUAGGAAAAUGUGUUUAAGUGUGCAAUAAAUUCCAAGUAUAAGAGAAGUUUUGCUUAUGGACUAAGCCAAAGCUAUGGACUCCGGUCAACGCUCUUUACUACUUAUAAACGCUUUGGAACUUGUUGAAGCUUAUGUUAUAGAUAAAACAAUUACAUGUAUUAUGAUGAUGGUAAACUAGGUGGAAGUCAAUAUUGUGGUUUGAGCCUUUGGACUGAGAUCCUCUGUACCAUCAUUGACUUGAGGUUUUAUGAAUGAUGCAUGAAAUUACUCUUUGCUAAGAAAGGAAAUAUUGUUCUGACUUAUGAAAAGAUGUAAAAUUCAUUAAGAGGCUCAAGGUCUCCAAAAUUAAAGCAUAUCAUGCAAGGUCCCCAUAGCCAUGUCACGUUUUUUGUAACAUUAUGGCUUCCCUAUCUCUUACCAAAUAGCUUGAAGUUACUAUUGGUUAUCUUAUCCUAGUCCCAUUAAUGGAAGACUCCAUAUCAAACUGAGUAUUAUCCACAACAACUUCAAAAUGUGUACAUCCACUAUGUCGUUUACCUUAUAAAUUGUACAGUUCAAAAAAAAUUAUCUUCAAGAGCUAACCGAAUAUUUUUACUACUGUUUUUUAUAUAGUGAUGUUUAAUAUUUAAUAUUUAUUCUUACCAUUGCCUUUCAAGGCUGAUGUCUGUUUAUAAUAUUUUCAGUUCAAUUCGAUCACCUAAAAAACCUUGUUCAUCAAGUCCAACUAAACCCAUGUCACCAACAUGCAACAAAUAAAUUGCCCACAGCUGAAACCACAUUUAAAUUAAGGAAACAACAAAAGAACAAGAACAAGAAAGUAUGAGAACAAGAUCUUCCGCUUUGUGGGAGAAGUAUACGUGGUUUUGAGGUAAUGAUUUUUAUUAUUAUGAAAUUGGUGUUUUUAAUGAUUGAAUUGUAUUCAGGUAGUUUUUGUUAAAUAGGUUUGGAUCUCAUAAAAAAAAUCAGAAUUUUCUUUAAUGAAUCAGUUUUGCAUUGUAUUUCGAAAACAUGGCAUUUUCACUAGGCACAUAAGACUUGCCUAGCAAAUAUUCCAAUAUUUCAGAACGGAUGCAAAUUCUAAAUUUUUUGACUUGAAGGGUUAUCAAAUAUACACUAUCUCACAAAGUAGGCUAUAUUUGGUAAGUAACUUUACUAAAGUUCAAAAAUGUGCAUUGAUUCUUUCUAUGUUU
This 1253-nucleotide long non-coding RNA is filed under the name Medicago truncatula (barrel medic). RNAcentral's name for it is "lncRNA gene13807". The record is from RNAcentral. Lineage: Eukaryota; Viridiplantae; Streptophyta; Magnoliopsida; Fabales; Fabaceae.